GACGAACGCUGGCGGCGUGCUUAACACAUGCAAGUCGAACGGAAAGGCCCCUUUGGGGGUACUCGAGUGGCGAACGGGUGAGUAACACGUGAGUAACCUGCCCUUGACUUCGGGAUAACUUCAGGAAACUGGGGCUAAUACCGGAUAGGAAUCCUUGCUGCAUGGUGGGGGUUGGAAAGCUUCGGCGGUUUUGGAUGGACUCGCGGCUUAUCAGCUUGUUGGUGGGGUAGUGGCUUAUCAAGGCUUUGACGGGUAGCCGGCCUGAGAGGGCGACCGGCCACAUUGGGACUGAAAGACGGCCCAGACUCCUACGGGAGGCAGAAGUGGGGAAUAUUGCACAAUGGGCGGAAGCCUGAUGCAGCAACGCCGCGUGCGGGAUGACGGCCUUCGGGUUGUAAACCGCUUUCAGCAGGGGCGAAGCUUGUGGUGACGGUACCUGCAGAAGAGGCACCGGCUAACUACGUG
This 465-nucleotide ribosomal RNA is filed under the name uncultured bacterium. RNAcentral's name for it is "partial 16S ribosomal RNA". It matches the Rfam family "Bacterial small subunit ribosomal RNA", at positions 28 to 507 of the family's 1533-position model. The record is from RNAcentral.